CAAUAGCGUAUACUAAUGUUGUUGCAGUUAAAAAGCUCGUAGUUGAACUCCUGGUAGGAGUGUCCCGGCCUUUUUGUUUUUACAAAUUGUAUGCUGUGUGACAUCUCUGGCCAUCCUUCUUCUUUGUUUAAAGAAGAUCUUUCACUGUAAAAAAAUUAGGGUGUUCAAAGCAAAAGUUUCUUUGGAAUAUAUUAGUAUGGGAUGAUAAGAUAGGCUCUAGAUGCUAUUUUGUUGGUUUGCACAUUUAGAGAAUGAUUAACAGGGACAGUUGGGGGUAUUCGUAUUUACAUGUCAGAGGUGAAAUUCUUGGAUUUUGGAAAGACGAACUACUGCGAAAGCAUUUACCAAGGAUGUUUUCAUUAA
This 363-nucleotide ribosomal RNA is filed under the name uncultured eukaryote. RNAcentral describes it as "partial 18S ribosomal RNA". It matches the Rfam family "Eukaryotic small subunit ribosomal RNA", at positions 592 to 976 of the family's 1831-position model. The record is from RNAcentral.